Molecule: unclassified non-coding RNA, 272 nt
Filed under: Hevea brasiliensis (rubber tree)
Lineage: Eukaryota; Viridiplantae; Streptophyta; Magnoliopsida; Malpighiales; Euphorbiaceae
Source: RNAcentral
AACAUUCAAAUUAGACCCCAAACCCAAACUCACAAAAACCCUCCAAAUUCCCCGCCACCGCCCUACCCCAUGGCCACCACUUCUAAUCUUCCAUCCUCCACAGCCUCCGCCGCCACCACCACUACACGUCCCUUCGCCUCCACCACCACCACUACUACUGCUGCUGCAACCGUUAAGUCCCCCUCAAGGCCUCAAACUCCCCACGCUUCUCCAUUCCCACUUUACCACUACUACGCAUCUCAAAACAUUCAAAUUAGACCCCAAACCCAAAC